GACGAACGCUGGCGGCGUGCUUAACACAUGCAAGUCGAACGGAAAGGCUCUGCUUUUGUGGGGUGCUUGAGUGGCGAACGGGUGAGUAACACGUGAGUCACCUGCCCUUGACUUUGGGAUAACUUCAGGAAACUGGGGCUCAUACCGGAUAGGAGCUCCUGCUGCUUGGUGGGGGUUGGAAAGCUUCGGCGGUUGGGGAUGGACUCGCGGGUUAUCAGCUUGUUGGUGGGGUAGUGGCUUACCAGGGCUUUGACGGGUAGCCGGCCUGAGAGGGUGACCGGCCACAGUGGGACUAGGAUACGGCCCAGACUCCUACGUGAGGCAGCAGUAGGGAAUAUUACACAAUGGGCGGAAGCCUGAUGCAGCAACGCCGCGUGCGGGAUGACGGCCUUCGGGUUGUAAACCGCUUUCGCCUGUGACGAAGCGUGAGUGACGGUAAUGGGUAAAGAAGCACCGGCGAACUACAUG
RNAcentral lists this ribosomal RNA (468 nucleotides) under uncultured bacterium. Its description in RNAcentral is "partial 16S ribosomal RNA". It matches the Rfam family "Bacterial small subunit ribosomal RNA", at positions 28 to 507 of the family's 1533-position model. The record is from RNAcentral.